RNAcentral lists this non-coding RNA (23 nucleotides) under Cricetulus griseus (Chinese hamster). The record is from RNAcentral. Lineage: Eukaryota; Metazoa; Chordata; Mammalia; Rodentia; Cricetidae.
UAUGUGGCUCUGCAUAGAUGUGU